This 256-nucleotide ribosomal RNA is filed under the name uncultured archaeon. Its description in RNAcentral is "partial 16S ribosomal RNA". It matches the Rfam family "Bacterial small subunit ribosomal RNA", at positions 521 to 776 of the family's 1533-position model. The record is from RNAcentral.
UAAUACGUAGGGGGCAAGCGUUGUCCGGAAUUAUUGGGCGUAAAGCGCGCGCAGGCGGUUCUUUAAGUCUGAUGUGAAAUCUUGCGGCUCAACCGCAAGCGGUCAUUGGAAACUGGAGAACUUGAGGACAGAAGAGGAGAGUGGAAUUCCACGUGUAGCGGUGAAAUGCGUAGAUAUGUGGAGGAACACCAGUGGCGAAGGCGACUCUCUGGUCUGUAACUGACGCUGAGGUGCGAAAGCGUGGGUAGCGAACAGG